CCAUGAUGUUUGGAUUGCCGACUAAUGAGACACCAGUCGACAAAAUUCUCGCCUAUUAAAUGAAAUACUGGUGAUAUGAUGUGGCGUGUGGUCGUACAGCCAAGAAGCGUUCCGAAUGAAGGGAAAGAUGGCGGUUCUUUUGGAAGACGGAAAAUCCCUGUUUAAGGAUACAAGUUACAACAAAGCGCCGGUGCUGGGACUUGAACUUAAGAGACCCUUUGGUCAUUCAGUCUUCGCCCUGCCACUAAACCACUGUGUCUUCGAUAAAGUCAUAAUAUCUUAUAUACAAAAGAUGUAGAACAGGCUUACACAUUAAUGCCUCUUAGACACUGCUGAAUUUUAGUUGUUAUGAUGGACUAAUUACCUAGCAUGGACUUUAUUAUAUAUAUAUAUAAUGAAGGUCCUUACAUUUCUAAUUGCCGUAGCAAUCGUCAGCAGUGUGCUACCUUACCAAUGUUGUAACUGUGGUAAAUAAAUUUAAGUAUGGCUGUG
This is a long non-coding RNA of Pecten maximus, 492 nucleotides long. RefSeq lists it as uncharacterized. The transcript has 3 exons. NCBI's taxonomy places the organism in Eukaryota, Metazoa, Mollusca, Bivalvia, Pectinida, Pectinidae. The record is from RefSeq and is a predicted model, not a curated record.